UACAGAGGGUGCAAGCGUUAAUCGGAGUUACUGGGCGUAAAGAGCUCGUAGGCGGUUUGUCGCGUCUGCUGUGAAAUCCCAGGGCUUAACCCUGGGCCUGCAGUGGGUACGGGCAAACUAGAGUGCGGUAGGGGAGAUCGGAAUUCCUGGUGUAGCGGUGAAAUGCGCAGAUAUCAGGAGGAACACCGGUGGCGAAGGCGGAUCUCUGGGCCGUAACUGACGCUGAGGAGCGAAAGCAUGGGUAGCGAACAGG
Molecule: ribosomal RNA, 253 nt
Filed under: uncultured bacterium
Lineage: Bacteria
Description: partial 16S ribosomal RNA
Rfam family: Bacterial small subunit ribosomal RNA
Source: RNAcentral